AGAGACUCCUAUUCCCCUCACAGAACUAUAAUACCCAGAGUGGUUUUAUAAUUAAUCCCUCUUCCCAGAGAACUCUGGGGAUUGUGGCUCUGUGAGGGGAAUAGGUGUCUA
Non-coding RNA from Podarcis lilfordi (Lilford's wall lizard), 111 nucleotides. The record is from the annotation of a GenBank genome assembly. NCBI's taxonomy places the organism in Eukaryota, Metazoa, Chordata, Lepidosauria, Squamata, Lacertidae.